GCCAGGCAUGGUGGCGCAUGCCUGUAAUCCCAGCUACUCCGGAGGCUGAGGCAGGAGAAUUGCUUGAAUCCAGGAAGUGGAGGUUGCAGUGAGCUGAGAUUGUGCCACUGCACUCUAGCCUGGGUGACGAAGCAAGAUUCCACCUCAA
Non-coding RNA from Pan troglodytes (chimpanzee), 148 nucleotides. It matches the Rfam family "Metazoan signal recognition particle RNA". Rfam says of the family: The signal recognition particle (SRP) is a universally conserved ribonucleoprotein. It is involved in the co-translational targeting of proteins to membranes. The record is from Rfam. Lineage: Eukaryota; Metazoa; Chordata; Mammalia; Primates; Hominidae.